This 365-nucleotide ribosomal RNA is filed under the name uncultured eukaryote. RNAcentral describes it as "partial 18S ribosomal RNA". It matches the Rfam family "Eukaryotic small subunit ribosomal RNA", at positions 592 to 975 of the family's 1831-position model. The record is from RNAcentral.
CAAUAGCGUAUAUUAACGUUGUUGCAGUUAAAAAGCUCGUAGUUGGAUUUCUGGAGGGAGCGUCGGCCCGUAUUUACGAGUGCGUGACGUCUCUGUCCAUCCUUGCGGGAAGGCACGGCAUUGAUUUGUUGUGUCGGAUCGCAUCAUUUACUGUGAAAAAAUUAGAGUGUUCAAAGCAGGCUUUCGCUUGAAUACAUUAGCAUGGAAUAAUAAGAUAGGACUCUGGUGCUAUUUUGUUGGUUGAGCCUAAAGUAAUGAUUAAUAGGGAUAGUUGGGGGCACCUGUAUUGCGUUGUCAGAGGUGAAAUUCUUGGAUUUACGCAAGACAAACAGCUGCGAAAGCGUCUGCCAAGGAUGUUUCCAUUA